UUUUAGCCCAGAUAGCAGCGGUAUCCUUUUGUGCAGUCCCGAAACUUCGGGACAGCACAAAAGAUAUAGCGGAGAGCUGGAAUUGCU
This 87-nucleotide small RNA is filed under the name Flavobacterium sinopsychrotolerans. RNAcentral describes it as "Flavo-1 RNA". It matches the Rfam family "Flavo-1 RNA". Lineage: Bacteria; Pseudomonadati; Bacteroidota; Flavobacteriia; Flavobacteriales; Flavobacteriaceae. The record is from RNAcentral.